RNAcentral lists this ribosomal RNA (301 nucleotides) under uncultured bacterium. Its description in RNAcentral is "partial 16S ribosomal RNA". It matches the Rfam family "Bacterial small subunit ribosomal RNA", at positions 509 to 808 of the family's 1533-position model. The record is from RNAcentral.
CAGUAGCCGCGGGAAUACGAAGGGGGCUAGCGUUGCUCGGAAUGACUGGGCGUAAAGGGCGCGUAGGCGGUUUGAUCAGUCAGGCGUGAAAUUCCUGGGCUUAACCUGGGGGCUGCGCUUGAUACGGUCGAGCUAGAGGAUGGAAGAGGCUCGUGGAAUUCCCAGUGUAGAGGUGAAAUUCGUAGAUAUUGGGAAGAACACCGGUGGCGAAGGCGGCGAGCUGGUCCAUUACUGACGCUGAGGCGCGAAAGCGUGGGGAGCAAACAGGAUUAGAACCCCUGUAGUCCCUGUCUCUUAUACC